UAAAGGGUAGUGUUAAUGUAGCACGGAGAGUUUUGGUCUCUUAUGUAUAGGUUCAAAUCCUGUUUCUUUAA
RNAcentral lists this transfer RNA (71 nucleotides) under Dermophis mexicanus (Mexican burrowing caecilian). Its description in RNAcentral is "tRNA-Gln". It matches the Rfam family "tRNA". Rfam says of the family: Transfer RNA (tRNA) molecules are approximately 80 nucleotides in length. Their secondary structure includes four short double-helical elements and three loops (D, anti-codon, and T loops). Further hydrogen bonds mediate the characteristic L-shaped molecular structure. tRNAs have two regions of fundamental functional importance: the anti-codon, which is responsible for specific mRNA codon recognition, and the 3' end, to which the tRNAs corresponding amino acid is attached (by aminoacyl-tRNA synthetases). tRNAs cope with the degeneracy of the genetic code in two manners: having more than one tRNA (with a specific anti-codon) for a particular amino acid; and 'wobble' base-pairing, i.e. permitting non-standard base-pairing at the 3rd anti-codon position. The record is from RNAcentral. Lineage: Eukaryota; Metazoa; Chordata; Amphibia; Gymnophiona; Dermophiidae.